RNAcentral lists this ribosomal RNA (106 nucleotides) under Planctomycetota bacterium. The record is from RNAcentral. Lineage: Bacteria; Pseudomonadati; Planctomycetota.
UGCGGUGACGAUGCGUGCGGGGAAACACCCGUUACCAUUCCGAACACGGAAGUGAAGUCCGCACGGCCGAUGGUAGUCGCAAGGCGAGAGUAGGUGAUUGCCGCAU